CUAGAGAGUACUGAGUGACAGAUACUGUAAACAUCCUACACUCUCAGCUGUGGAAAGUAGAAAAGCUGGGAGAAGGCUGUUUACUCUCUCUGCCUUGGAAAUCAACCAAAGAGACACGG
Molecule: microRNA precursor, 119 nt
Filed under: Myotis lucifugus (little brown bat)
Lineage: Eukaryota; Metazoa; Chordata; Mammalia; Chiroptera; Vespertilionidae
Description: microRNA 30c-2 (ENSMLUG00000018123.1)
Rfam family: mir-30 microRNA precursor family (bases 18-93)
About the family: This family consists of the mammalian microRNA (miRNA) precursor mir-30a.
Source: RNAcentral